Molecule: ribosomal RNA, 331 nt
Filed under: Blastocystis sp. subtype 3
Lineage: Eukaryota; Bigyra; Opalinata; Blastocystidae
Description: SSU rRNA
Rfam family: Eukaryotic small subunit ribosomal RNA
Source: RNAcentral
UAGUAGUCAUACUCUAGUCUCAAAGAUUAAGCCAUGCAUGUGUAAGUAUAAAUAGUUAACUUUGAAACUGCGAAUGGCUCAUUAUAUCAGUUAUAGUUUAUUUGAUGAAGAAUACUAAUUGGAUAACCGUAGUAAUUCUAGAGCUAAUACAUGUAUAAAGUCUUGUAGACUGCAUUUAUUAGAAUGAAAACCAUAGGUUUCGGCCUAUUCGUGAGUAAUAAUAACUAAUCAUAUCGUAUGCUUAUGUAACGAUGUGUCUUUCAAGUUUCUGCCCUAUCAGCUUUCGAUGGUAGUGUAUUGGACUACCAUGGCAGUAACGGGUAACGAAGAA